This 750-nucleotide ribosomal RNA is filed under the name Streptomyces sp. DEM29b. Its description in RNAcentral is "bacterial SSU rRNA". It matches the Rfam family "Bacterial small subunit ribosomal RNA", at positions 137 to 897 of the family's 1533-position model. The record is from RNAcentral. Lineage: Bacteria; Bacillati; Actinomycetota; Actinomycetes; Kitasatosporales; Streptomycetaceae.
UCUGGGACAAGCCCUGGAAACGGGGUCUAAUACCGGAUACUGAACCUGCCUGGGCAUCCAGGGGGUUCGAAAGCUCCGGGGGUGCAGGAUGAGCCCGCGGCCUAUCAGCUUGUUGGUGAGGUAAUGGCUCACCAAGGCGACGACGGGUAGCCGGCCUGAGAGGGCGACCGGCCACACUGGGACUGAAACACGGCCCAAACUCCUACGGGAGGCAGCAGUGGGGAAUAUUGCACAAUGGGCGCAAGCCUGAUGCAGCGACGCCGCGUGAGGGAUGACGGCCUUCGGGUUGUAAACCUCUUUCAGCAGGGAAGAAGCGAAAGUGACGGUACCUGCAAAAAAAGCGCCGGCUAACUACGUGCCAGCAGCCGCGGUAAUACGUAGGGCGCGAGCGUUGUCCGGAAUUAUUGGGCGUAAAGAGCUCGUAGGCGGUUUGUCACGUCGGUUGUGAAAGCCCGGGGCUUAACCCCGGGUCUGCAGUCGAUACGGGCAGGUUAGAGUUCGGUAGGGGAGAUCGGAAUUCCUGGUGUAGCGGUGAAAUGCGCAGAUAUCAGGAGGAACACCGGUGGCGAAGGCGGAUCUCUGGGCCGAUACUGACGCUGAGGAGCGAAAGCGUGGGGAGCGAACAGGAUUAGAUACCCUGGUAGUCCACGCCGUAAACGGUGGGCACUAGGUGUGGGCGACAUUCCACGUCGUCCGUGCCGCAGCUAACGCAUUAAGUGCCCCGCCUGGGGAGUACGGCCGCAAGGCUAA